This 27-nucleotide non-coding RNA is filed under the name Drosophila erecta. The record is from RNAcentral. Lineage: Eukaryota; Metazoa; Arthropoda; Insecta; Diptera; Drosophilidae. RNAcentral also lists the same sequence under 2 other names.
GUAGGUGAAACUGCGGAAGGAUCAUUA